GACGAACGCUGGCGGCGUGCUUAACACAUGCAAGUCGAACGGAAAGGCCCUGCUUUUGUGGGGUGCUCGAGUGGCGAACGGGUGAGUAACACGUGAGUAACCUGCCCUUGACUUUGGGAUAACUUCAGGAAACUGGGGCUAAUACCGGAUAGGAGCUCCUGCUGCAUGGUGGGGGUUGGAAAGUUUCGGCGGUUGGGGAUGGACUCGCGGCUUAUCAGCUUGUUGGUGGGGUAGUGGCUUACCAAGGCUUUGACGGGUAGCCGGCCUGAGAGGGUGACCGGUCACAAUGGGACUGAGAGACGGCCCAGACUCCUACGGGGGGCAGCAGUGGGGAAUAUGGCACAAUGGGCGGAAGCCUGAGGCAGAAACGCCGCGUGCGGGAUGACGGCCUUCGGGUUGUAAACCGCUUUCGCCUGUGACGAAGCGGGAGUGACGGUAAUGGGUAAAGAAGCACCGGCUAACUACGUG
This 468-nucleotide ribosomal RNA is filed under the name uncultured bacterium. RNAcentral describes it as "partial 16S ribosomal RNA". It matches the Rfam family "Bacterial small subunit ribosomal RNA", at positions 28 to 507 of the family's 1533-position model. The record is from RNAcentral.